RNAcentral lists this ribosomal RNA (106 nucleotides) under Bacillus anthracis (anthrax bacterium). RNAcentral also lists the same sequence under 2 other names. Lineage: Bacteria; Bacillati; Bacillota; Bacilli; Caryophanales; Bacillaceae. The record is from RNAcentral.
AUGGCAGAGAGGUCACACCCGUUCCCAUACCGAACACGGAAGUUAAGCUCUCUAGCGCCGAUGGUAGUUGGGACCUUGUCCCUGUGAGAGUAGGACGUUGCCAGGC